RNAcentral lists this unclassified non-coding RNA (172 nucleotides) under soil metagenome. RNAcentral's name for it is "partial contains 5.8S ribosomal RNA, internal transcribed spacer 2, and large subunit ribosomal RNA". The record is from RNAcentral.
AACCUUAUGGACCUGCGGGCGUAUACCUGCGGAAGGAUCAUUAAUAAAUGUUACUUCGGUAACUUAAUUAAUCCCUAACACCUGUGCAUCUUGUCGCUUCGGCGUCAUUUUAUAAACAUCAGUGUAAUGAAUGUAACGUAUUAUAACAAAUACAACUUUCAACAACGGAUCU